GCACGAAGUGGGAAAACAGAGAAUCUGCCUCCUUUCGAAACGGGUCAUUCCAGGACUGUAAAUUGCAUAUGAAUGCUUAAACCCCCAAAACCCAAAUCCUGCAUCUUCUUCUGAGGCUCGUCUGUGCCUCUCAACUGUCGCAGUCUUUCUUCUUCUUUCAGCUUCAAAAGACGUCACAAUGGAGAGAAAGGCUUGUGACAGUGACAGUGAGUUCAAGGACGAUGGCGAUUUCGACAACGAUGAAUGGAGCAGGAAGAGGGGGGGAGGAGGAAAAUGGUGAUGGGCAAAACGAUAAUAAUGAUGCCGAGAUGGAAGAACGCGAGAAAAAAUACAUCAAUCUUCGUCAUCAGGAGCAGGAAGAGAGACUCUGUUCACAAUCCUUUUAUGCUUAAUUAUAAACCUGUGAUGCUUAAUUAGAAUGAAGAUAUAGAGCUAAAUAAUGUGAAUAUAAGAGAUAAUAUGCAUAGCAGUUGGGGGUUAGUGACGAAAUUUGAUAUUAACUUCAUACUGCAUAUGUUCAUGUAUUGCUUCUCCUAAUACAUAUCCUGUUCUCUAGGUAACUCUGAACAAUCUAAGAAGUCACAAUCAUCUAAGAACAUUGACAGUGAUGGUGAUGUGACGAGGAUUGGUCCCGGAUUUCUUAGUUGCUGUCGAGAAUAGCUACUUUCAAAAACAAAUUGAUAGACAAAUGACAGAGGAAGACAGAGGUGACCACAGGCGCUACUGCUAUUGAAAGCGAGCUGCAUGCUUUUAAUCAGAAUAUUAGUGAACAACUUGCUUCUUAUAUAGAAGACCCAAGCAGAAUGGUUGGGCAGAUGCAGAUGUGGAAAUUAGCAGUUGCUGUAUUUGGCACUGUUCCUGUGGGGGAGACCACUGCAAAGGGAAAGGUGACAUAAUCUGAUGCUGGUGCACAAGUUGAUGGUGACCCCGAACUUUUGGAUGACUCUGAGUUAUACCAGACAUUACUGAAGGAAUUUUUUGAGACAAUUGACCCAGCAUCUUCUGAGACAGCCGUUCCUCCUAAUGCUUCCUGACAAUAAUAAUUCGGGUUGAAGAAGCAGAAACCUGCUCCGUAGUGUAGUAGCGAUGCAAGGCUGAGCCAACUCUAUAGUCCUUAGAUCUCGGGCUAAGAAAUUGUUUGCUGUUUAUUUAUUUGAUAUAUUAUUCAAUUUAAUCUGUUAUACUUAUUCACACAAUUUUUCAGUGGGAGUCGAAUCUUUAAGAAGCAUGAUUUUGUAGUAAAUGACAAUUAAGAUGGCCGAGUCUUUAAGAAGCAUGAUUUUGUUGUAAAUGACAAUAAGAUCUGUAACUUUGACAUUUAUAAGCAAAUAGGAUGUUUUUGCUUUCCAA
This is a non-coding RNA of Malus domestica (apple), 1350 nucleotides long. Lineage: Eukaryota; Viridiplantae; Streptophyta; Magnoliopsida; Rosales; Rosaceae. The record is from RefSeq and is a predicted model, not a curated record.